GGACAAAGAGCAUAUAGUAUAAAAGUAUUGUGUUGGUUAAAUUGGUGGGUUAUGAAUAGGAAGAUGUGGUACUUAGUUUUGUUGGUUAUAGUAAUCUUUAACCCUACAAAACAUGGUGAAUCCAGUACUGAAGCGUUCUGCCAAUGGCGUUGUGGGGUUCCACCUUCCGGCCCAUCGAAGCAGCAUCGUGACAUCGAUGUUGGAGGGUUUCAUAUCCCUUCCCAUCUUCCCAGGCCGCCACCAACAGACUGACCUCAAAAGGACGGACAGCUGGUCACCGAGCUGCGUUUCUGUUUGAGCUGCUCAACUGUGUUUUUGUUUGGGCUAAUCGAGUUGAUUUUUCAGUCCGAUGGGUUUUAUGCUAUUUUCGUUUUAAUGAUUCCUGUUCUAUAUAUAUUCCUUUUUCAUUAUGUACUCAAUUACUUCAAGAUCCAAAAAUAAUAUUUUUUACACUCCUUAAAAGAGAGAAAGAGAGAAAAACAGAGUAAAUGCGCAAUGAAUGUUAUUAAC
Molecule: long non-coding RNA, 510 nt
Filed under: Vigna radiata
Lineage: Eukaryota; Viridiplantae; Streptophyta; Magnoliopsida; Fabales; Fabaceae
Description: long non-coding RNA (VRAD_LNC007948)
Source: RNAcentral